CAGAACUCUCAGGGACACAAGAUACCUUGGCAUGACUGGAAUAUGUUGUGACAUCACCUGUAGCAAUCAGAUGCACAUGCUCUGGGUUUGGCUAUGAUCACUAAGUUUUUGUGGAAGCAAUAUGGCUGAAAGUGGUGAAAACUACAUGGAGGGCUGUCCCAUGAAAGACUCCAAUGGAUCCUGUAUCCUUAAAAUAGGGAAAGGUACCCAAGAUUGAAGGAGCCUGGACUCUGAAUGACCUUAUGGAACAGCCUUUAUCUGAACUGGAAACAAACUUCUAUUAAACCAUUAAGAUCAUGA
Molecule: long non-coding RNA, 300 nt
Organism: Neofelis nebulosa (Clouded leopard)
Lineage: Eukaryota; Metazoa; Chordata; Mammalia; Carnivora; Felidae
Exons: 2
Source: RefSeq, a predicted model, not a curated record